Molecule: ribosomal RNA, 254 nt
Filed under: uncultured bacterium
Lineage: Bacteria
Description: partial 16S ribosomal RNA
Rfam family: Bacterial small subunit ribosomal RNA
Source: RNAcentral
GACGUAGGGGGCCAGCGUUGCUCGGAAUUACUGGGCGUAAAGGGUUCGUAGGCGGUGCGGCAAGUCGGAAGUGAAAUCUCUGGGCUUAACUCAGAGGCUGCUCCCGAAACUGCCGUGCUUGAGUGCGGGAGAGGCGAGUGGAAUUGCAGGUGUAGCGGUGAAAUGCGUAGAUAUCGAGAGGAACACCAGAGGUGAAGACGGGUUGCUGGGCCGACACUGACGCUGACAGCGCGAAAGCCAGGGGAGCAAACGGG